GAGAUGAGCCUUGCGUCUGAUUAGCUAGUUGGUGGGGUAAGAGCCUACCAAGGCGCCGAUCAGUAGCCGUGGUCUGAGAGGAUGAUCAGCCACACUGGACUGAGACACGGCCCAGGACUCCUACGGGAGGCAGCAGUGGGGAAUUUUCGCAAUGGGCGAAAGCCUGACGGAGCAAUACCGCGUGAGGGAGGAAGGCUCUUGGGUUGUAAACCUCUUUUCUCAGGGAAGAAAAAAAUGACGGUACCUGAGGAAUAAGCAUCGGCUAACUCCGUGCCAGCAGCCGCGGUAAUACGGAGGAUGCAAGCGUUAUCCGGAAUGAUUGGGCGUAAAGGGUCCGCAGGUGGCUAUGUAAGUCUGCUGUUAAAUAGUCAUGCUCAACAUGAUCAAGGCAGUGGAAACUACAAGGCUAGAGUGCGUUCGGGGCAGAGGGAAUUCCUGGUGUAGCGGUGAAAUGCGUAGAUAUCAGGAAGAACACCGGUGGCGAAAGCGCUCUGCUAGGCCGCAACUGACACUGAGGGACGAAAGCUAGGGGAGCGAAUGGGAUUAGAUACCCCAGUAGUCCUAGCCGUAAACGAUGGA
RNAcentral lists this ribosomal RNA (579 nucleotides) under Trichormus variabilis ACCS 060. RNAcentral's name for it is "bacterial SSU rRNA". It matches the Rfam family "Bacterial small subunit ribosomal RNA", at positions 222 to 813 of the family's 1533-position model. The record is from RNAcentral. Lineage: Bacteria; Bacillati; Cyanobacteriota; Cyanophyceae; Nostocales; Nostocaceae.